UCCUAGCCGUAAACGAUGAGCACUAGGUAAGGGGGGAGCAUAUUUCUCUCUUUGCCGUAGCUAAUGUGUUAAGUGCUCCGCCUGGGGAGUACGCUCGCAAGGGUAAAACUCAAAGGAAUUGACGGGGGCUCACACAAGCGGUGGAGCAUGUGGUUUAAUUCGAAGCAACGCGAAGAACCUUACCUAGCCUUGACAUAUGCGGAUUAGUCCUGUGAAAGCAGGGUGACAGCUCC
Molecule: ribosomal RNA, 233 nt
Filed under: uncultured bacterium
Lineage: Bacteria
Description: partial 16S ribosomal RNA
Rfam family: Bacterial small subunit ribosomal RNA
Source: RNAcentral